AAUCAACGCUGGCGGCGCGCCUAACACAUGCAAGUCGAACGAGAGAGCAGGAGCAAUCUUGUGAGUAAAGUGGCGUACGGGUGAGUAACACGUGGAUCAUCUACCCUCUUGUGGGGGAUAACUCUGGGAAACCGGAGCUAAUACCGCAUAAGUCCGAGAGGAGAAAGCAGUAAUGCGCAGGAGGAGGAGUCCGCGGCCGAUUAGCUAGUUGGUAGGGUAAAAGCCACCAAGGCAACGAUCGGUAGCCGGCCUGAGAGGGCACACGGCCACACUGGCACUGAAACACGGGCCAGACUCCUACGGGAGGCAGCAGUGGGGAAUCUUGCACAAUGGGGGCAACCCUGAUGCAGCGACGCCGCGUGAGCGAUGAAGCCC
Molecule: ribosomal RNA, 375 nt
Filed under: uncultured bacterium
Lineage: Bacteria
Description: bacterial SSU rRNA
Rfam family: Bacterial small subunit ribosomal RNA
Source: RNAcentral